GUUAUGACUGACGCUGAGCUGUCUGCAUUACUGUUUUAUGACUCUUAAGUGGAUAGAUGAGUCACAUCCUUGUGUCCUACACACAACCCAUUAAAAGCAACAGGCCUCUGCAGACCUGGGGAAAAACAAGGCAGUCUUGCACUCUUAGAUUUCAUUCCUGGCAAAGGUGCUAUAAGUCAAAAUGAUGUAAGCUGAAUCAGAUUUUCCAGUAGAAACUAAGCCACAUUCAUUACCAACAGCUUAAAGACCAACCUCUUUAUAGAAAAUGACCACAGACGUCACAAUUAGCUAAAUGCAAAUGGUAUAUCUGUAAACAAGUCAAUGUAAGCCUUUACAAAACAUAUAGAUACCGAACAGGGCAAUACAGAAGUCAACCACCGGAUUAUAAUCGCUAUUUAAAAUGCUGAUAUCUUCUAAUGAUUUUUGUUAUAUUUACCAAAAUGAAUAGCAUUUGUUCAGGGACUCUUUGGGCACAUUCUGAGAGUAAUCUUUAAAAAGAUCUGUGAGGAAAAUUAGGAAUGUGCGAUAUGUUUUGAGAAAUAAAUCCAGGGAUGUGUGCUCCUUAGUGUCCGUCUGCUUAUAGUCCCCAAAUGUACAAAGCAAAGAAUAAUUGGCCAUUGGGUUUUGCUUUCUGAACUGCUGGCACAUAAGUACUAGCUACUUACUACCUUAUACCUAAAAAUUGCUUUUAAAAUGCACAACUUAACCUCCAUUUUCACUGAAAUUUCUGACAUUUUAUCCCCUAUUACACUAUUACAAAGUGUCAGGAGCUCUCAGUUCCUGACCUAGAACAGAAGCCAGGUCCACUAAUAUAUAUCAGUGGGUCUGACUCAUUAGACUGAUUAUAAAGGUUGAUUUGAUUCUGACUCCAGAAAUAAUUCUUUUGCAGCAGUAGUAGAAUUGAAUCCUCUAAUGGAAAAAUGUUACUUUCCAAUUAAAAAAAAAAAGACUCCGAAAGAGUGACUAUUCAGAAUACUUGUAAGUUAAAAGCACUUUCUUUUCCCCCAUAAGUGUACUGGAAUGUAGAGAUCCAAAUUCACAGUCUUCUCUGAAAGUCAUUAUUUUGCUCUAAACCUUUCUGGGAUUUCUGUGUGUGAACUGCCUUUUAAAUCAUCAUAAUCCAGGUGAUGUGAUCUAUGUCAAUCACUUUAUGUUCACAAGACAGUUUUCAUUUGUCCACGGCCUUUUUUUUCUUCCUCGGUCCCUCUCUUCUCUCCUCCACUUAAUCUGCCGGAAAUCCAGAUCUUCCUUCUCUGUUACCUUCAUGCUGGAGCCAGACAGGAGACAUUCUUAAGUGCUGGGAGUGGGUACUGGAGCAGGGAUAGUGGAGCCCAACCGAGGUCACCUGUGGACGGGUGGGUGGAGCUGCCUGCCCAGGGUUGUAGUCCAGGCUCCUCUGUUGGAGCUGUUCUUCAUGGUUUUCCUCAGAAGAAAUAGGGCAUCCGCCUGUAUUCAUAUGGGUCUUCCUUCCCAGCUUUGGCUGUGCUUUGGAGAUUCUUCAGAAAGGGAUGAACCCAAUCACCUCUCCUGUCUGAGAAGCUGAGGGAUGUACUAACCUGCUGGGGAUGGAUGAGUGGGUAGAUA
This 1584-nucleotide long non-coding RNA is filed under the name Homo sapiens (human). RNAcentral's name for it is "HSALNT0183355". Lineage: Eukaryota; Metazoa; Chordata; Mammalia; Primates; Hominidae. The record is from RNAcentral.